RNAcentral lists this ribosomal RNA (418 nucleotides) under uncultured bacterium. RNAcentral's name for it is "bacterial SSU rRNA". It matches the Rfam family "Bacterial small subunit ribosomal RNA", at positions 8 to 422 of the family's 1533-position model. The record is from RNAcentral.
AGAGUUUGUUCCGGGCUCAGAUUGAACGCUGGCGGCAGGCUUAACACAUGCAAGUCGAGCGGCAGCGGAAAGAAGCUUGCUUCUUUGCCGGCGAGCGGCGGACGGGUGAGUAAUGUCUGGGGAUCUGCCCGAUGGAGGGGGAUAACUACUGGAAACGGUAGCUAAUACCGCAUAAUGUCGCAAGACCAAAGUGGGGGACCUUCGGGCCUCACACCAUCGGAUGAACCCAGAUGGGAUUAGCUAGUAGGUGGGGUAAUGGCUCGCCUAGGCGACGAUCCCUAGCUGGUCUGAGAGGAUGACCAGCCACACUGGAACUGAGACACGGUCCAGACUCCUACCGGAGGCAGCAGUGGGGAAUAUUGCACAAUAGGGGAAACCCUGAUGCAGCCAUGCCGCGUGUGUGGAGAAAGCCUUCGGG